Molecule: transfer RNA, 74 nt
Filed under: Planctomycetota bacterium
Lineage: Bacteria; Pseudomonadati; Planctomycetota
Description: tRNA-Val
Rfam family: tRNA
About the family: Transfer RNA (tRNA) molecules are approximately 80 nucleotides in length.
Source: RNAcentral
GGGCGGGUAGCUCAGUUGGCUAGAGCAUUCGCUUUACACGCGAGAGGUCCCGGGUUCGAGUCCCGGCCCGCCCA